RNAcentral lists this long non-coding RNA (386 nucleotides) under Callithrix jacchus (white-tufted-ear marmoset). RNAcentral describes it as "lncRNA (ENSCJAG00000081058.1)". The record is from RNAcentral. Lineage: Eukaryota; Metazoa; Chordata; Mammalia; Primates; Cebidae.
UAUAAAUAAAAAAUAUUUUUAUGGCUGUACAACGUGUUUGUGUUUUAAGCUUUAUUACAAGAGUCCAAAAGUUUAAAGAUUUUUUUAAUGCUUAUAAAGUAAAAAGUUACAGUAAACGAAGGUUAGUUAAUGAUUAAAGAAAAAAUAUUUUGCUAUAAACUUGGUGUUGCCUAAACAUACAGUGUUUAUAAAGUUUACAGUAGUAUAUAGUAAUGCCAUCAGCCUUCACAUUCACUCACCACUCACUCACUGCCUCACCCAGAGCAACUUUAGGUUCUGUGAUCUCCACUCACGGGGUUAUAGGAUCACAGAAGACAGAAUGGGCAACAAGAAGUGUAUGUCACUCUGGACAGACUUCUAAAGGUGUGCCUCUGCCAAUCAACUAA